UACGUAGGCAGCAAGCGUUGUUCGGAGUUACUGGGCGUAAAGGGGGCGUAGGCGGCUUUUUAAGUUUGGUGUGAAAUCUCCCGGCUCAACUGGGAGGGUGCGCCGAAUACUGAGAGGCUAGAGUGUGGGAGAGGAAAGUGGAAUUCCUGGUGUAGCGGUGAAAUGCGUAGAUAUCAGGAGGAACACCGGUGGUGUAAACGGCUUUCUGGACCAUAACUGACGCUGAGGCACGAAAGCGUGGGUAGCAAACAGG
This 253-nucleotide ribosomal RNA is filed under the name uncultured bacterium. Its description in RNAcentral is "partial 16S ribosomal RNA". It matches the Rfam family "Bacterial small subunit ribosomal RNA", at positions 524 to 776 of the family's 1533-position model. The record is from RNAcentral.